Molecule: ribosomal RNA, 782 nt
Filed under: Bacillus safensis
Lineage: Bacteria; Bacillati; Bacillota; Bacilli; Caryophanales; Bacillaceae
Description: bacterial SSU rRNA
Rfam family: Bacterial small subunit ribosomal RNA
Source: RNAcentral
CNNNNNNUGCAAGUCGAGCGGACAGAAGGGAGCUUGCUCCCGGAUGUUAGCGGCGGACGGGUGAGUAACACGUGGGUAACCUGCCUGUAAGACUGGGAUAACUCCGGGAAACCGGAGCUAAUACCGGAUAGUUCCUUGAACCGCAUGGUUCAAGGAUGAAAGACGGUUUCGGCUGUCACUUACAGAUGGACCCGCGGCGCAUUAGCUAGUUGGUGGGGUAAUGGCUCACCAAGGCGACGAUGCGUAGCCGACCUGAGAGGGUGAUCGGCCACACUGGGACUGAGACACGGCCCAGACUCCUACGGGAGGCAGCAGUAGGGAAUCUUCCGCAAUGGACGAAAGUCUGACGGAGCAACGCCGCGUGAGUGAUGAAGGUUUUCGGAUCGUAAAGCUCUGUUGUUAGGGAAGAACAAGUGCGAGAGUAACUGCUCGCACCUUGACGGUACCUAACCAGAAAGCCACGGCUAACUACGUGCCAGCAGCCGCGGUAAUACGUAGGUGGCAAGCGUUGUCCGGAAUUAUUGGGCGUAAAGGGCUCGCAGGCGGUUUCUUAAGUCUGAUGUGAAAGCCCCCGGCUCAACCGGGGAGGGUCAUUGGAAACUGGGAAACUUGAGUGCAGAAGAGGAGAGUGGAAUUCCACGUGUAGCGGUGAAAUGCGUAGAGAUGUGGAGGAACACCAGUGGCGAAGGCGACUCUCUGGUCUGUAACUGACGCUGANGAGCGAAAGCGUGGGGAGCGAACAGGAUUAGAUACCCUGGUAGUCCACGCCGUAAACGAUGAGU